AUAACGGCGUCGAGCGGCGGACGGGUGAGUAAUGCCUAGGAAAUUGCCUUGAUGUGGGGGAUAACCAUUGGAAACGAUGGCUAAUACCGCAUAAUGCCUACGGGCCAAAGAGGGGGACCUUCGGGCCUCUCGCGUCAAGAUAUGCCUAGGUGGGAUUAGCUAGUUGGUGAGGUAAUGGCUCACCAAGGCGACGAUCCCUAGCUGGUCUGAGAGGAUGAUCAGCCACACUGGAACUGAGACACGGUCCAGACUCCUACGGGAGGCAGCAGUGGGGAAUAUUGCACAAUGGGCGCAAGCCUGAUGCAGCCAUGCCGCGUGUAUGAAGAAGGCCUUCGGGUUGUAAAGUACUUUCAGCAGUGAGGAAGGGGGUGUCGUUAAUAGCGGCAUCUCUUGACGUUAGCUGCAGAAGAAGCACCGGCUAACUCCGUGCCAGCAGCCGCGGUAAUACGGAGGGUGCGAGCGUUAAUCGGAAUUACUGGGCGUAAAGCGCAUGCAGGUGGUUUGUUAAGUCAGAUGUGAAAGCCCGGGGCUCAACCUCGGANCUGCNUUUGAAACUGGNAAACUAGAGUACUGUGNGAGGGGGGUAGAAUUUCGGGGAGCGGUGAGA
Molecule: ribosomal RNA, 607 nt
Filed under: bacterium PII.13
Lineage: Bacteria
Description: bacterial SSU rRNA
Rfam family: Bacterial small subunit ribosomal RNA
Source: RNAcentral